AAGCGAGCGUAGGUGGCUUGAUAAGUCAGAUGUGAAAUCCCCGGGCUUAACCUGGGAACUGCAUCUGAAACUGUUAGGCUAGAGUAGGUGAGAGGGAAGUAGAAUUUCAGGUGUAGCGGUGAAAUGCGUAGAGAUCUGAAGGAAUACCGAUGGCGAAGGCAGCUUCCUGGCAUCAUACUGACACUGAGGCUCGAAAGCGUGGGUAGCAAACAGGAUUAGAUACCCUGGUAGUCCACGCCGUAAACGAUGUCUACUAGUCGUUGGGUCCCUUGAGGACUUAGUGACGCAGCUAACGCAAUAAGUAGACCGCCUGGGGAGUACGGCCGCAAGGUUAAAACUCAAAUGAAUUGACGGGGGCCCGCACAAGCGGUGGAGCAUGUGGUUUAAUUCGAUGCAACGCGAAGAACCUUACCUGGUCUUGACAUAUCUAGAAUCCUGCAGAGAUGCGGGAGUGCCUUCGGGAAUUAGAAUACAGGUGCUGCAUGGCUGUCGUCAGCUCGUGUCGUGAGAUGUUGGGUUAAGUCCCGCAACGAGCGCAACCCUUGUCCUUAGUUACCAGCGGGUUAAGCCGGGAACUCUAAGGAUACUGCCAGUGACAAACUGGAGGAAGGCGGGGACGACGUCAAGUCAUCAUGGCCCUUACGACCAGGGCUACACACGUGCUACAAUGGUAGGUACAGAGGGCAGCUACACAGCGAUGUGAUGCGAAUCUCAAAAAGCCUAUCGUAGUCCAGAUUGGAGUCUGCAACUCGACUCCAUGAAGUAGGAAUCGCUAGUAAUCGCGGAUCAGAAUGCCGCGGUGAAUACGUUCCCGGGCCUUGUACACACCGCCCGUCACACCAUGGGAGUUGAUUGCACCAGAAGUGGAUAGCUUAACCGUAAGGGGAGCUUCCCCCCGGGUGC
This 903-nucleotide ribosomal RNA is filed under the name Psychrobacter sp. 808C1. RNAcentral describes it as "bacterial SSU rRNA". It matches the Rfam family "Bacterial small subunit ribosomal RNA", at positions 563 to 1465 of the family's 1533-position model. Lineage: Bacteria; Pseudomonadati; Pseudomonadota; Gammaproteobacteria; Moraxellales; Moraxellaceae. The record is from RNAcentral.